This 24-nucleotide microRNA is filed under the name Medicago truncatula (barrel medic). Its description in RNAcentral is "mtr-miR2590i". The record is from miRBase by way of RNAcentral. Lineage: Eukaryota; Viridiplantae; Streptophyta; Magnoliopsida; Fabales; Fabaceae.
AGAAUGACAUGGCAGAAUAAUCAC